Molecule: ribosomal RNA, 485 nt
Filed under: uncultured bacterium
Lineage: Bacteria
Description: bacterial SSU rRNA
Rfam family: Bacterial small subunit ribosomal RNA
Source: RNAcentral
UAGUCCACGCCGUAAACGAUGUCUACUAGCCGUUGGGGAACUUGAUUCUUUAGUGGCGCAGCUAACGCACUAAGUAGACCGCCUGGGGAGUACGGCCGCAAGGUUAAAACUCAAAUGAAUUGACGGGGGCCCGCACAAGCGGUGGAGCAUGUGGUUUAAUUCGAUGCAACGCGAAGAACCUUACCAGGUCUUGACAUACAGCGAACUUUCCAGAGAUGGAUUGGUGCCUUCGGGAACGCUGAUACAGGUGCUGCAUGGCUGUCGUCAGCUCGUGUCGUGAGAUGUUGGGUUAAGUCCCGUAACGAGCGCAACCCCUAUCGUUAGUUGCCAGCAAGUUAUGUUGGGGACUCUAGCGAGACUGCCGGCGUAAGCCGCGAGGAAGGUGGGGGAUGACGUCAAAUCAUCAUGGCCCUUAUGCCCAGGGGCUACACACGUGGCUACAAUGGCAGGGUACAAAGAGUCGCUAAGCCGCGAGGGUAGAGGCU